This 76-nucleotide transfer RNA is filed under the name Gammaproteobacteria bacterium. RNAcentral describes it as "tRNA-Val". It matches the Rfam family "tRNA". Rfam says of the family: Transfer RNA (tRNA) molecules are approximately 80 nucleotides in length. Their secondary structure includes four short double-helical elements and three loops (D, anti-codon, and T loops). The record is from RNAcentral. Lineage: Bacteria; Pseudomonadati; Pseudomonadota; Gammaproteobacteria. RNAcentral also lists the same sequence under 1 other name.
GGGUGCUUAGCUCAGCUGGUAGAGCGACGCCUUUACACGGCGAAGGUCGGGGGUUCGAUCCCCUCAGCACCCACCA